ACUGGGCAUGGUGGCACAUGCCUGUAAUCUCAGCUACUCGGGAGGCUGAGGUGGGAGGAUCGCUUGAGCCCAGUAGUUCUGGGCUGUAGUGUGCUCUGCCGAUCGGGUGUCCACACUAAGCGUGGCAUAAAUAUGGUGACCUCUCGGGAGCAGGGGACCACAAAGUUGCAUAAGGAGGGGUGUAUGGCCCAGGUUGGAAACAAAGCAGGUCAAAACUCCUCUGCUGAUCAGUGGUGGGAUCGCACCUGUGAACAGCCGCUGCACUCCAGCCUGGGCAACAUAGCAAGACCCCAUCUCU
This 298-nucleotide signal recognition particle RNA is filed under the name Aotus nancymaae (Ma's night monkey). Its description in RNAcentral is "Metazoan signal recognition particle RNA (ENSANAG00000009847.1)". It matches the Rfam family "Metazoan signal recognition particle RNA". Rfam says of the family: The signal recognition particle (SRP) is a universally conserved ribonucleoprotein. It is involved in the co-translational targeting of proteins to membranes. The record is from RNAcentral. Lineage: Eukaryota; Metazoa; Chordata; Mammalia; Primates; Aotidae.